Non-coding RNA from Pelobates cultripes (western spadefoot toad), 2089 nucleotides. The record is from the annotation of a GenBank genome assembly. Lineage: Eukaryota; Metazoa; Chordata; Amphibia; Anura; Pelobatidae.
GAGUGAGUUGGAAACAGAAUCCACGGUUUAUUAUCAUGCACUAGUAUGAGACACAUUUAUGAACCAAUUGGAUAGAUUCUGUUUUACGUUUGUUGACUAAACCCUCUUAACCAUUUCCUGGAUAUCCAUUCAAUCACACCAUUAUCAUGUAAUUACUAAACUGGCAUUUUCCCCACCUGGGUGAUUGGUUACUCGACAGCCAUCAUUUACCAGUGAUUUCCGAGCAACGCAUUUAAGUAUGAUUGGCAGAGGAUUAGUGGGGCAAAACGUGCAUUGAGUGACAGCCUGCAUACAGUUAGGCCGUGGCACGAUAUGAUAGUAUAUAGUUCAGUAACUAUAAUCACAGCCGACAAUUUAUCUAUAUCUUUAUGGAUCACCCUACUAACCUGUAACAAGAGUCCUUGAUUUGAAAUAGCCACCUCUGUAGUGGAUGAAAUAUGUUGGGGAUAGUCUAUCCAGAAAUGUUCCAUUGUUCAAAGUUAGGGAGCUUCUUUCAGCUCAGGUCUUUGGUGGUAUAUGAUACAUAGUAACAUCACAAGAAUAUCUCUGGUAACAUUUCCUAUUUAAUGUUAUGGGGGAAUAAGACAGAAGGUAAGUGUAGUAUUAUCUCCCUCUGCUGGUUCUUUUAUGACAUAGAUAGUGCUACCAUGGCUUCUUUUUUAAUGUUUGCUGCUAUAAUGAAGGCAGGGAGAGAGAUGUUUAAAGUUCUCAUAUUGCGCAUGGAGCUCCCUCUACCGGUCACCUUUGGUAAACACGUAUAAGGAUGUUUUAGUUAUUUAUUAUGGUGCAUAAUUUAUCAGAGAUGCAAUCGCUAUAUUUGUUUUAGUUAUUCAUUUACACAAUUCAUUUGUUACACUCCUUGAAGGAAUAGAAGUACAAUCUCUAAGGAUCCAUAUCCUUGCAAAAAAAAGGAGUAUUUUUGUAGUAUCUCAAAUUUUUGUAUAUGCUUAAUAAUUGGUGAGUGAUAUUUUAGCUGGAAUUAAUAAAUGUUAAGUUUAUUUUGAAGGUUUUUCGUAUGACUGGGAAUAGUUGUUUUCCAGUUAGUGGUUUGUUUCUCAGAAUGUAUUUCUUCUAUAAACAAUUUUUUGUCUAUUGAAGCGAAUGAUAUUGUUCAUAAUAUAAACAAUGCAUGACAGAAUAUUCCAUCAUGGAUAUUCUUCCCUUAAGAACCCAUGACCGAAUAAUUCCAUCAUGUGGUAUUUUACCAGCAGGGAAACAAAGGAAUCCCAGGUAUCAUCAGGCUGACUGAGGAACUGUAUGUAGCACUCAUGUAGCCAUUUAAAUGCAUUGAGAACGCCGUGGGUGAGCAAUUGUGCUUAGCCACGGUGGUUCUGGGCUGACAGCUAUUCCCAGUGAAAGCGAUGGCACUCCCAAAAGUAUAAAACACAAAACUCCCCAAAGCAAAUAAUCUAAGGUACAGUCAUGGUGCUCAAGGCCUGGCACUGGCCUAACCUCUAGUAGCAGGAUUUCAGCAAAUCAAAUUAUAUUUUGGCAGAUUUUUUGUUGUUUUUUUCUCUGUUGUCAAGUGACAGACCCGCAGCAGCCAUGACAGUCAGAAAGAGACAUAUGAGCCAGGUAUGUGAUAUAUCGCUUUUUUUGAUGAUUUUAAACAUCUGUGUUUUAACAAUAAUGUAUUCAUACCACUUCAUUCUAUUCUAUUUAAACACCGAUUAUUGCAAUGUUUGGUAUGGCUUGAUAAAGGUCAUAUAUGGUGACCAAAAUAUUGUCAGACAGAGUAUACCAGAAAAUAUGAAUAUUAUUCUAUAACACACACUGUAAUACACACUAUUACACACACUGCAAGUCACAAUUAAAAGAAAAUUGUAUCACUUUUAAUUUUGUAGCUGUAUGAAACCAAAUAGUGGACAAUGUUUUUCUGACAAAAAGCUGAGAAAGCAGUGGUCCAAUUCAAUUUAUGACCCAAACCACUUUAACUAAGACAGUAAACAAACAGAUUUUGUUUAUUCUACGGAAUUAUAAAUCUAGUAUGUGCUUUCUCAAAUAAUUGAGAAACUUCCAUCUCAUGGUAAAGACUCAAAGUCCAUAUCGCAAAAACUCUUCUCAGAGAAAUAAGAAAAGGGGAUUAAUA